AGCUCGGAGGGAGGUUGGCGGGGGAGGGGGAGAAGGAGCGAAAGAGGCGGGACCUGGGGAGGGGGCGGGUAGCGGGUGGCUGGAGCAUGCGCGGGAGAGCUGGCGCGUGCCACGCGCCCCCGGUCCAGCCAGCUUCUCGUCCGCAAUGUCCCAGUUUUUUGUGGGGUUUUUUUUUUUCCCCUGAGCCUGGGGAGUGGCCGCUGCCUGGGCCCCGCCCCACUCCCAGGCUCCUGGAGAUGGGGGUUGGGCUCCAUGUGUUUCCGCUAGGCGGGGAUCCUGGGCAGUGGGACCGCGCCGAGGUCCUCCGCGGCGGUCCCGGCGGCGACGGCACGCUUUCCUGUAGGAGCUGUGCGGCCGUCUGGUUGUGCGCGGGAGAAGACCCCAGAGUGCGGCCCUAGUCUACAAGGUGCCUUCCUGUACAGGAGAGGCUAGAACACCAAAACCCGCCAUCCUGGCUCCUUCGCAGGCCCAACUCUGGAUGUGAGAUGGCCUCUGUCAGCUAGACACACUCAGUUCAAGAAACCGAGGCACAGAAGUUAAGUAACUUGCUGAAUGUCUCCCAGAGAUGACAAGCAGGCAGAGAGAGAGAGGGGGAAUCAGGCUCCCCACUGAGCAGAGAGCCCGACGACGUGGGGCUCAAUCCCAGGACCCCAGGAUCAUGACCUGAGCCGAAGGCAGAGGCUUUAACCUGCUAAGCCACCCAGGCGCCCCUGACUCUAACACUCUUAAAGACUCAUGAUUAAGGCUUUGAAAUUCAUUGGAUGUGGAUCUGAGUUCAGGAUUCAACGAUCAGGUUUAUGUAUGCAUUCAAAAAGUACUCGGGAUAAACUGAUGAACAUGUCAGAAAAUGUCCUAUCCCAGUGAAGCUUGCAUUACUGUGGAGAAUAACAAUAAUAAUAAAGAUGGGAAGUAAUAAUUUA
Long non-coding RNA from Mustela lutreola (European mink), 920 nucleotides. RefSeq lists it as uncharacterized. The transcript has 4 exons. The record is from RefSeq and is a predicted model, not a curated record. NCBI's taxonomy places the organism in Eukaryota, Metazoa, Chordata, Mammalia, Carnivora, Mustelidae.